This is a long non-coding RNA of Amphimedon queenslandica, 398 nucleotides long. RefSeq lists it as uncharacterized. The transcript has 3 exons. Lineage: Eukaryota; Metazoa; Porifera; Demospongiae; Haplosclerida; Niphatidae. The record is from RefSeq and is a predicted model, not a curated record.
ACUAGGCGCUUGACAAUAAUGACUUGUGCUUGUUUGUCAGACUAAUGAGACUAGCCUGUACUGUGCCUGGUGUAGCCGUGAAGCUGAGACCAUGCUGGUGUAGCCUAUGUAGGUCGAGGUCUACAUGCAUUUAGGUUUGAGUAGUCAGUUGCUUCAUUAUAUGGCACCUCAAUUGUUUGAAGACAGCAAUAAAUCAUAAAAAGGGUGAUAAUCGUUGGAGCUGUAGUGUUAGGGGCUGCUCUAUAGUGGUGACUGGUCUUAUUGGCUCUUUUCUCAUUCUCACUAUAAACUUCUUGAUUCGUUUUCAUCGUCUUCAUUAAUCCAUUAUUUAAUCAAUUCUACUAUAGUCUGUGUAUUUUGUGUAAUAAAACAAUUAAAUCGACAGAUGUAGAAACUAA